This 2583-nucleotide ribosomal RNA is filed under the name Felicinia spathulata. RNAcentral describes it as "partial 28S ribosomal RNA". It matches the Rfam family "Eukaryotic large subunit ribosomal RNA", at positions 78 to 2878 of the family's 3401-position model. The record is from RNAcentral. Lineage: Eukaryota; Rhodophyta; Florideophyceae; Gigartinales; Kallymeniaceae.
CCUCAGUAGCGGCGAGCGAAGCGGGAAGAGCCCAAAAUGAAAAGCCAGCUUGCUGGCGUUGUAGUUGAGCGUCUUUGGGGUGUCAGUUCGGGAAAGUGGCAUGGAAAUGCGCGCCGAGGAGGGUGAUAGCCCCGUCCAUCCCGUUCAGGACACUUCGCACUAAGGCGUUUCAGACGAGUCGGGUAGCUUGGGAAUGCUGCUCUAAUUGGUGGUAAAUCUCAUCAAAGGCUAAAUAAUGGUGGGAGACCGAUAGCGAACAAGUACCGUGAGGGAAAGAUGAAAAGCACUUUGAAAAGAGGGUAAAAAGAACCUGAAACCGUUACGGGGGAAGCGGAUUGCGUUGGCCUGGUGGCUACCUGUGUGUUCAGCCUGGUGCAUUGAUGCAGGUGGUUAUUCGUUGUGGCUUUUUAGCGACUGAUAUUGAGUUGCUGAAGGGUGAGGGCUCCCGGUGAGGACGACGGAGUGACGACGCGAUACGACCCGUCUUGAAACACGGACCAAGGAGUCUAGCGCGGGUGCGAGUCAGAGGGUAGCCCCGUGGGCGAAGUGAAAGCGAGACGAGCAGUUUGGGGCGGCAUAGAAUCGUUGAUUCUAGGUCUGACCUUGAGCAGUUGCGCUGGGACCCGAAAGAUGGUGAACUAUGCCGGAGUAGGGCGAAGCCAGAAGAAAUUCUGGUGGAGGCUCGUAGCGGUGCUGACGUGCAAAUCGCUCGUCGAACUUGGGUAUAGGGGCGAAAGACUAAUCGAACCAUCUAGUAGCUGGUUUCCUCCGAAGUUUCUCUCAGGAUAGCAGGCCGACAUGCGUUGUUUUGUGCGGUAAAGCGAAUGAUUAGCGCAUUCGGGGGCGUUUAGCCUUCGGGCGAUUCUCAAACUUUAAAUGCGCAAGGGUACCGGUGCUUUGUUGAGCGGUACCGGUAAAAACGUCGGCCUUGUGGGCCACUUUUGGUAAGCAGAACUGGCGAUACGGGAUGAACCGUAAGCAUGGUUAAGGUGCCAAACUGCCCGCUUAUAGAUCCCACAAAAGGUGUUGAUUCAUCGAGACAGCAGGACGGUGGCCAUGGAAGUCGGAACCCGCCAAGGAGUGUGUAACAACUCACCUGCCGAAUGAAUUAGCCCUGAAAAUGGAUGGCGCUUAAGCGGGCGACCGACACCAUGCCGUCUGCAGAUGAGUAGGAGGACGUGGCGGCUGUGUCGAAGCAUGCGUGCAGACGCGUGUGAAACAGCCGCUAGUGCAGAUCUUGGUGGUAGUAGCAAAUAUUCAAGCGAGAUCCUUGAAGGGCGAAGCGGGGAAGGGUUCCACGCGAACAUUGAUUGGGCGUGGGUGAGUCGUUCCUAAGCCGAGUGGCAAUUGCUAAGUAACGGCGAAAGGGAAGCAGGUUGACAUUCCUGCACACGGAUGUGGAGGCGGUGACGCUUUAAUGAGGGCGAACACGCCGGCGAUGGCGCUGGGCAGAGUUUUCUUUUCUGUUUGACCGCUGUAGCAUGCGGUGUGGAAUCCGCUUGUCGGGAGAAACACGCAUGUUCGGGCAGAGCGCCGGGGCUAUUCCGGCGUCCAGCUCGCCAUCGACGGCCCUUGAAACUUUGCCUGCUGGAAAGAUCCACGCCGUGGCGUACCGAUCACCGCAUCAGGUCCCCAAGGUGAACAGCCUCUGCUCGAUAUGAACAAUGCAGGUAAGGGAAGUCGGCAAAUUGGACCCGUAACUUUGGGAAAAGGGUUGGCUCUAGUGCUGCGUGGGAGUGGUUGUCGGGUGUUGGCGUUUACGGACUUGCUGAGCGAUGUUUAAUCGGCGAGUCUGGAUUCGCCACGCUCGACGACGCCCACAGCAUGCAGCAAACUAGAACUGCAACGGGCAAAGGGAAUCCGACUGUUUAAUUAAAACAAAGCAUUGCGAAGGCCGUGGCCGGUGAUGACGCAAUGUGAUUUCUGCUCAGUGCUCUGAAUGUCAAAGUGAAGAGAUUCAAUCAAGCGCGGGUAAACAGCGGGAGUAACUAUGACUCUCUUAAGGUAGCCAAAUGCCUCGUCAUCUAAUUAGUGACGCGCAUGAAUGGAUUAACGAGAUUCCUACUGUCCCUAUCUGCUUCUAGCGAAACCACAGCCGAGGGAACGGGCUCGGCGAAAUCGGCGGGGAAAGAAGACCCUGUUGAGCUUGACUCUAUUCUAAUUUUGUGAAGCAAGCUGGGAGGUGUAGAAUAGGUGGGAGAUCGUCCGUGAAAUACCACUACUCCCAGUCUUGCUUUACUUACUGGGUGGGUGUGGAUGAGUCUUACGACUCUUUUCUGGAACCAACUCGAGGACCACAGCCCAGUACACAUUUAGGAGGGGAGUUUGGCUGGGGCGGUACAUCUUCUACAAGACAACGAAGGUGUCCAAAGAUAAGCUCAGUGAGAACAGAAAUCUCACGUAGCGCAAAAGGGUAAAAGCUUGUUUGAUUUUGAUUUUCAGUGCGAGUCAAAAACGCGAAAGCGUGGCCUAUCGAUCCUUUCACGAUUCGAGAUUUGAAGCGAGAGGUGUCAGAAAAGUUACCACAGGGAUAACUGGCUUGUGGCGGCCAAGCGCUCAUAGCGACGUCGCUUUUUGAUCCUG